RNAcentral lists this long non-coding RNA (356 nucleotides) under Brachypodium distachyon (stiff brome). RNAcentral describes it as "long non-coding RNA (BDIS_LNC005094)". The record is from RNAcentral. Lineage: Eukaryota; Viridiplantae; Streptophyta; Magnoliopsida; Poales; Poaceae.
AUCUGUGGGAACUGUUUUUUUUUUCUUUCCUUCGCCUCGUUACCGGAUUCCAAAAUAUAGAAAUAGAAUAUAAAUGCAACUGAAAAGCACAGGAUUAGAAGCACUCUGGAAUUCAAAAGGGAGAGUUGUUUGGAACGUAGGAAUCAGAACACCACUUGCAGCUGCAAUGCUGUAACCACCAUGUACUUUAUAUUGCAGUAGGCAUUUUGCCAACUGUACAUUCCUAAAAAAAAAAACUUGGAGCUGCAAGGAACGGUACACGUGAGUUUGUUUAUUAUAUAUGACACAUGAACACCAAAAUUUCCGAUAUCAUAGGCAUCAGCACUAAGCAGACUUGGGCAGGCAACAGCAGUUCG